UGUUGUGGUUGCUCAUACGAG
RNAcentral lists this non-coding RNA (21 nucleotides) under Arabidopsis thaliana (thale cress). Lineage: Eukaryota; Viridiplantae; Streptophyta; Magnoliopsida; Brassicales; Brassicaceae. The record is from RNAcentral.